AUUGAACGCUGGCGGCAUGCCUUACACAUGCAAGUCGAACGGCAGCACGGGUGCUUGCACCUGGUGGCGAGUGGCGAACGGGUGAGUAAUACAUCGGAACGUACCUUAUCGUGGGGGAUAACGCAGCGAAAGCUGUGCUAAUACCGCAUACGCCCUGAGGGGGAAAGCGGGGGAUCGCAAGACCUCGCGCGAUUAGAGCGGCCGAUGCCUGAUUAGCUAGUUGGUGGGGUAAAAGCCCACCAGGGCGACGAUCAGUAGCUGGUCUGAGAGGACCGUCAGCCAGACUGGGACUGGGACACGGCCCAGACUCCUACGGGAGGCGGCAGUGGGGAAUUUUGGACAAUGGGGGCAACCCUGAUCCAGCAAUGCCGCGUGAGUGAAGAAGGCCGUCGGGUUGUAAAGCUCUUUUGUCAGGGAAGAAACACCGGCUCUAACACAGUCCGGGAAUGACGGUACCUGAAGAAUAAGCACCGGCUAACUACGUGCCAGCCGCCGCGGUAA
This 501-nucleotide ribosomal RNA is filed under the name uncultured bacterium. Its description in RNAcentral is "partial 16S ribosomal RNA". It matches the Rfam family "Bacterial small subunit ribosomal RNA", at positions 29 to 523 of the family's 1533-position model. The record is from RNAcentral.